This 529-nucleotide ribosomal RNA is filed under the name uncultured bacterium. RNAcentral describes it as "bacterial SSU rRNA". It matches the Rfam family "Bacterial small subunit ribosomal RNA", at positions 777 to 1304 of the family's 1533-position model. The record is from RNAcentral.
AAUAGAUACCCGGGUAGUCCACGCCGUAAACGAUGAGUGCUAAGUGUUAGAGGGUUUCCGCCCUUUAGUGCUGCAGCAAACGCAUUAAGCACUCCGCCUGGGGAGUACGGCCGCAAGGCUGAAACUCAAAGGAAUUGACGGGGGCCCGCACAAGCGGUGGAGCAUGUGGUUUAAUUCGAAGCAACGCGAAGAACCUUACCAGGUCUUGACAUCUCCUGACAACCCUAGAGAUAGGGCGUUCCCCUUCGGGGGACAGGAUGACAGGUGGUGCAUGGUUGUCGUCAGCUCGUGUCGUGAGAUGUUGGGUUAAGUCCCGCAACGAGCGCAACCCUUGAUCUUAGUUGCCAGCAUUCAGUUGGGCACUCUAAGGUGACUGCCGGUGACAAACCGGAGGAAGGUGGGGAUGACGUCAAAUCAUCAUGCCCCUUAUGACCUGGGCUACACACGUGCUACAAUGGAUGGUACAAAGGGCUGCAAGACCGCGAGGUUAAGCGAAUCCCAUAAAACCAUUCUCAGUUCGGAUUGCAGG